GGACUCGCCAAGUUCUAGGAAUGCUCACCCUUUGGCUCAGAAGGAUUUCCCCUCCCAUAGAGGGGGUUGUGGGAAAGGCUCAGAAAAACCGUAUUAAAAACCCUUCCAACUUCCCCAACGGGCCCUGGCCUCUCAUCUGCUGACCCCAGCCGCCCAGGCGGCCUCGCCUGCUCUCCCCCCAUCAGGGCUGAGUCUCUGGCCCCCGCAGGCCCCGGGGAGCCUCCAGCGCCGUUUCCGCUCUGGCAGCCAGGUGGACAAAGAGUUACGGGAUGGAGAGCCGGAAGGGGCCGUCAGACUGGAGGCUCGGUGACAGCGACCCUGAGGAGCUAACAUCUGAGCUGAGACCACCCCUCCCCCCACCCCAGGGCAUGAAGAAUCCAGGCGUGACAAGGUCUGAGGGAAAGGUGUUCCAGGCCAAAGGAACAGCCAGUGCAGGGGUCCGGAGAUUUCUCUGAGGCCCGAAGCGGUUUCCUUUCUCGCUGAAUUUCUUCUCGCCGCGCGUCCCCUCCAGCGUCCAGUUUCUCGUUUCAGCGCUCUCCGCGAUGGAGACGUCGCACCUUCGUUUCUGUUUUCCUUAGAAAGGCGAGAGGUUUCCGAGGAGCCCCUGCCGCCGCCUUGCCCUAGAUUCGGAGAGCCUCGCAGCUCGGCCCGUGAUCGCAUCUCUGCGGCUCCUCCCCCUUCACAGGCCGCCGCGAGCAAGAGGUUUAGGCCGAUUGCCCCGAAACGGGCAGGGCCGGCGCCCAGCAGGUCCCCCUGCGGGGACAGACGCUGACCCCGAGGGCACCUGCUGCCUGCCCGGUUCCGGCCCAGGCUCUCCGGAUUAAUAGCAGCAACGAAACAAUAGUCAACGACCAUAUCGACAGGCAUGACUGUAAGUGGAUGUGAGUCGUACGUCCCUCAGGGGUGGCUGUGGAGCAUGCUGGUUACAGAGACUUGCCCUGUGGGAGACAGACCCUCACGCCCAUUGUACAGAUGAGGACCCUGAGGCUGGAGAGCGAAGACUCCUCCCAAGGUUACCAGCCGGUGCGUGGAGGCCUCGAUGUCCACAUCUGUGGAGUGUGCUUCUGCAGACCCGUCCUCCCCCUGCUGGGAACACGGUCUGGGCCACAGCCCGCUCCAGGCGCCAGCCACAAAGACGCUCCGCUGGUCACAGCAGCCAAGGCUGGAAACAACCUAACAUCCGUCAGCGAUGAAAGGACAAAGGAGGCGGCAUGUCCACACGGCGGGACAGGAUUCAGCCACAAAGGAACAGGGUACGACACGCGCUGGAACAGGGUCGGACCCUGAAAACGUGAUGCUCCGUGAACAGAGCCAGACUCCAGAGGCCACGUGCUGUGUGAUUCCACGCAUGGAAACAUCCAGAACACGUGAACCCCUGGAGACAGGGAGCAGACGGGUGGUGGCCGGGGCUGGGGGAGGGGACGGGGAGCGAGGCUGAUGGGGACGGGCUCUUACUUUGGGGUGAUGGAAACGUUCUCAAAUUCAACUGAGGCGGUAGCUGCACUACCUUGUGAACAGACUAAAUGCCACCGAUUGUCCACUUGCUUUUACUUUUGCUGGUGACUUUUUAAAUUUGGAAGCUGUAUCUUUUUUUUUAAAUCUAUUUUCAGCUUUAUUGAGGUGUAAUGGACGAACAAAAUUGUAACAUAUUUCCAGUAUCCACGUGACAAUGGGAUACGUGUCUGCACUGUGAAAGGGUUCCUCCCCUCUAGUUAAUUCACACGUUCAUCAUUCUAUACAGAUUUGUUUUGGGGAGAAUAUCGAAGUUCUGCUGCCUUUGCAAAUUUCAAUUCUAUAAUUCAGUGUUACCAACACGUCUCCAUGUUAUACGUUAUGUUCACUUUAAAAUGAUUUUUUAAUGUGAAUUUCACCUCAAUUAAAAAAUAAAUAAUAAGGAAUAAUAAUUUUUAAAAGAUGCCAGGGCCUUGCUCCGAUUUCUGCCUUUUUCGCCCAGGUCAAAUCUCAACUCUAGCAUGAGGGGCUCUGAGAGCCAAGACUCACAGACCUCUGGGAAGUUUUACCCACACCAAAGCCCAAAUGUCCUUGUACCUGGCAUUUUCCUCAACUGGCAAGCAUCUAGAUUAGGGGGAAAUCCCAGCUUGCCUUUCCUGGCUGAGGAGUUAUGGCAGCAUCAGGUAUAGCUGGAUCCAGGAGCUCAGCAGAUAUCAGAUAUCAUCAGGUACCUGUCUCUCUCCACGUCGUGGCUGUGGCCCCGCUUUCCUCUGUGCUGGCUUCACUAUCAGGCAGGCUCUAGAAUUCAACUGCUUCUCUCCACCUCCACUGCCUCUGCUUUGCUCUUAGCUACCAUCAUCUUUUGCCUGGACUACUGCAAUACCUUCCUCCCUGGUCUCCUGGGGCCUCUAC
Molecule: long non-coding RNA, 2364 nt
Organism: Equus asinus (donkey)
Lineage: Eukaryota; Metazoa; Chordata; Mammalia; Perissodactyla; Equidae
Source: Ensembl